UGCACGCUCCUUAGAUCCAUCUCUGACGAUCCCUGAGAGAUGCUUGAGUCAUUGGCGUGCUAGAUUAUGCAAUACCUUCUUCUCAACCCUUUGUUCUCAGUGUCGAACGAUUUCGGUGAUUCGAACGUGCGCCGAAAUUGCCUUGAAGACUAUGAGCAGCUUGAAAAGCGGACAUU
Venturia canescens is the source of this 176-nucleotide small nucleolar RNA. RefSeq annotates it as small nucleolar RNA SNORA53. The transcript has a single exon. NCBI's taxonomy places the organism in Eukaryota, Metazoa, Arthropoda, Insecta, Hymenoptera, Ichneumonidae. The record is from RefSeq and is a predicted model, not a curated record.